UGGCCCUCUCGACUUCGAGGUGCCCGCGCUUUGUGCGGGAGAAUCGGGAAGGCGGUGCCAAUCCGCCGCGCGCCCAGCGCCGUGAAGGGGAUUGUCCGGGCAAGGUUCGCCCAGCCACUGGUCGUCAGGAUCGGGAAGGCGUCCGGACGAGAUGAUCCGCAGCCGGAAGACCGGCCUCGAAGUGUUUCCUGCA
RNAcentral lists this non-coding RNA (193 nucleotides) under Thauera sp. 27. RNAcentral also lists the same sequence under 1 other name. Lineage: Bacteria; Pseudomonadati; Pseudomonadota; Betaproteobacteria; Rhodocyclales; Zoogloeaceae. The record is from RNAcentral.